UUGCUCUUCAACGAGGAAUGCCUAGUAAGCGCGUGUCAUCAGCAUGCGUUGAUUACGUCCCUGCCCUUUGUACACACCGCCCGUCGCUACUACCGAUUGAAUGGCUCAGUGAGGCGUUCGGACUGGCUCGAGGAGGUUGGCAACGACCACCUCAAGCCGGAAAGUUCGUCAAACUCGGUCAUUUAGAGGAAGUAAAAGUCGUAACAAGGUUUCCGUAGGUGAACCUGCGGAAGGAUCAUUAUCAAAACAGCGGACUUCGGUCCUUGCUGCACCCUUGUCUUUUGCGUACCGUAUGUUUCCUCGGCGGGCUUGCCUGCCGGUUGGACAUUAUCAAACCUUUUUGUAGUUGCAAUCAGCGUCAGAAAACAAAUAAUAAUUACAACUUUCAACAACGGAUCUCUUGGUUCUGGCAUCGAUGAAGAACGCAGCGAAAUGCGAAAAGUAGUGUGAAUUGCAGAAUUCAGUGAAUCAUCGAAUCUUUGAACGCACAUUGCGCCCCUUGGUAUUCCAUGGGGCAUGCCUGUUCGAGCGUCAUUUUGUACCCUCAAGCACUGCUUGGUGUUGGGCGUUUGUCCUGCAAAGGACUCGCCUGAAAGCGAUUGGCGGCCAACGUACUGGUGGUAGAGCGCAGCACAAUUUGCGUCUCUCCCUUCUACGUCGGCGUCCAUGAAGCCUUUUUUCAACGUUUGACCUCGGAUCAGGUAGGGAUACCCGCUGAACUUAAGCAUAUCAAUAAGCGGAGGA
RNAcentral lists this ribosomal RNA (744 nucleotides) under uncultured fungus. RNAcentral describes it as "eukaryotic LSU rRNA". The stretch from base 1 to 241 matches the Rfam family "Eukaryotic small subunit ribosomal RNA", at positions 1593 to 1831 of the family's 1831-position model. Lineage: Eukaryota; Fungi. The record is from RNAcentral.